CGGCCUUAUUACAUUUAAAAACCCAAAACUUCAAACGUAAAUAAAAGGAUGUCCAGUUCACCAGAAGAAAAUCAAACUUUCAGAAUAGGUGGCCACUCCGAAUUCCCUCACAGCUCCAAGCCCACUAUGGUUGGGGAUUACCUACGUGGAUGAAAAUAAAAGGGGUGAGUUUGGGGAAAACUCAGUGUGUAAAUUAACCCAACCAUAGCCUCUAUCAGCUCAAACCACAGAAAUAGAAUAAGUUGGCCUUAGCCCAGAACAGAAUUCAGAAUAAAGCCCAUAGGCCCAUAACAGAACAGAACAGAUAUUACAUGUUUAUGCAGAAACCCAACCCAGAUUCAUCCAGAACACCCCCAUACCAGCCUUACACCAUAUGGGGAGACUACUCGACCCACCCAACCGCUACACACCACAGAAAUCACAGCGAGGCUGCCAGAUAUUGUGACGAAGUCACCAGAUACAGAUAUUGUGGCAGAGCCACCAGAACAGAUAUAUGUGGCAGUGCCACCAGAUCAGAUAAUUGUGGCAUAGCCAUCAAGACAAAUAUAUGUGGCAGAGCCACCAGAUCAGAUAAUUUUGGCAUAGCCACCAGGACGCUUCCUCCAUAGUAUAACCCAAGUACCCAUGCAACAGAUAUAUAAUCAUGGCAUACAUCGUACAGAAUCAGAUUGUCAUGCUUUUCAGUCAAAAGUAACCCUAGGGGUAUAAUGGUAAUUUUGCAUACAUAGGGGUAUUCAAGUAAUUUAACUAUUCUUAAGGUUUUCAUACAUAACAUAGCCAUUUACGUACGAUCAGAAACACUUACCGCUUUUUCUUACCAAUUUGGGCCCGUUGGCCCAUUAUCCCGUUUUUGGCCCAUUAAGCCCAAAAAUAUCGAAAUGCACAGAAUCGCACACUCUGCAGUCUUAUCACUUUAAUUUACCAUAUACAUCAAACUAUUAAUCUCAUGAGCAUUCAAAUACUCGCAAGAUCUCAAAAUACCGGCUUUUUGGCAUUUCGGCUUUUCGGCUUGUGCCGAUCUAGUCUAUAAGAGGGUGUUAGUUACACACCUGUUUGUGACGAUAUGCUGACGAGAUCCACACACGAACCGCCUACAAUUGGAUUACUAACAUGUUAAUCUAACUAUUCAAAUACGAACUACGUAUUAACCCCUUACAAUAUUUAGCCAAUCACACCUACAGAUCAGAGUAAGCUUAUAAGAAAUCAAUAAGCAACUCAUUAACGAAUUUUUGUCAGUGUUUACCACAUAAUCAUAAUUUCACUGCAAGCUGUCUUCCUGAGCAAUAGUCACUAAAUCAUUUAUAACUGGAGCUACAAAACUCCAAAUCAAGUGCCAUUAAUUUUCCCUGAAAAUAGACUCAAAUAUAUUUUAUCCAUAAAAUUUUAAGAAUUUUUGGUUCAGUCAAUCAAUACCAGAUUUUUCUCAAAAUUUCCCAUGUUUCACUGUUUGACUAAUCUGACGACUCUUCAUUACGAAUCAAAUUUCUCAUUGUACAAAAUUCAAAAUAUGUUCUUGUUUAUUUCAUUUGAAACUAGACUCAAUAAGCUUUAAUUACAUAAUUUAUUCAGCUUCUAAUUCAUCUCCCCCAAUUUAUGGUGAUUUUCCAAAGUCACAUUACUGCUGCUGUCCCAAGCAGAUUUAUUACCAAAUCACUCUUUCACACCUAACUUGCAUGCUUGUUAUUUAAACAUGUAUAUCACCAAUCAAUCAUCACAUAUCUAUGAUUUUACUUAAGUAUAAUCUCCAUUUCAUCAUUUUAAAGCACAACAUGUUAGCCGAUUUUUCCCCUUAGCAUCUAAGGCACAUGCAUGCUCAUUUGUUUGGCUCAGCUUCACCUAUCUUCCAUUUUUCAUCAAAAGAAUAUGAAACAACAACCAUUUCCUUCAUUUUAAUUCAUGACUAAAUGCUCACAACAGAACUAAAAAACCAAAAUAUGCUUCAAGAGUUAAGGUAGAAUCAAGAAGAACUCAUGAACCUCAAAAUAGAAGCAAGGUACCAAGAACUUACCUUCAAUUUUCCUCCUCCUAGUGACC
Molecule: long non-coding RNA, 2034 nt
Filed under: Gossypium barbadense (sea-island cotton)
Lineage: Eukaryota; Viridiplantae; Streptophyta; Magnoliopsida; Malvales; Malvaceae
Description: long non-coding RNA (GBAR_LNC003990)
Source: RNAcentral